CCUACGGGAGGCAGCAGUGGGGAAUAUUGCACAAUGGGGGAAACCCUGAUGCAGCGACGCCGCGUGAGCGAAGAAGGUUUUCGAAUCGUAAAGCUCUGUCCUAUGAGAAGAUAAUGACGGUAUCAUAGGAGGAAGCCCCGGCUAAAUACGUGCCAGCAGCCGCGGUAAUACGUAUGGGGCGAGCGUUGUCCGGAAUUAUUGGGCGUAAAGGGUACGUAGGCGGCCUUUUAAGUCAGGUGUGAAAGCGUGAGGCUUAACCUCAUUAAGCACUUGAAACUGGAAGGCUUGAGUGAAGGAGAGGAAAGUGGAAUUCCUAGUGUAGCGGUGAAAUGCGUAGAUAUUAGGAGGAAUACCGGUGGCGAAGGCGACUUUCUGGACUUUUACUGACGCUCAGGUACGAAAGCGUGGGGAGCAAACAGGAUUAGAUACCCCAGUAGUC
Molecule: ribosomal RNA, 439 nt
Filed under: uncultured Parvimonas sp.
Lineage: Bacteria; Bacillati; Bacillota; Tissierellia; Tissierellales; Peptoniphilaceae
Description: bacterial SSU rRNA
Rfam family: Bacterial small subunit ribosomal RNA
Source: RNAcentral